This 116-nucleotide non-coding RNA is filed under the name Lacimicrobium alkaliphilum. RNAcentral describes it as "TPP sequence". It matches the Rfam family "TPP riboswitch aptamer (THI element)". From Rfam's summary of the family: Vitamin B(1) in its active form thiamin pyrophosphate (TPP) is an essential coenzyme that is synthesised by coupling of pyrimidine and thiazole moieties in bacteria. The previously detected thiamin-regulatory element, thi box was extended, resulting in a new, highly conserved RNA secondary structure, the THI element, which is widely distributed in eubacteria and also occurs in some archaea. The record is from Rfam by way of RNAcentral. Lineage: Bacteria; Pseudomonadati; Pseudomonadota; Gammaproteobacteria; Alteromonadales; Alteromonadaceae.
CCAUUAACCAAGGGGUGCCGUGAGGCUGAGAUCCGUAUCUGCUGAAAGAUGCAGUAGUGGGAACCCUUAAACCUGAUCCGGAUAAUACCGGCGUAGGAAUGGUUCGGGAACCGCUC